GAUGAACGCUGGCGGCGUGCCUAAUACAUGCAAGUCGAGCGAACAGACGAGGAGCUUGCUUCUUCGACGUUAGCGGCGGACGGGUGAGUAACACGUAGGUAACCUACCUAUAAGACUGGGAUAACUUCGGGAAACCGGAGCUAAUACCGGAUAAUAUUUUGAACCGCAUGGUUCGAUAGUGAAAGAUGGCUUUGCUAUCACUUAUAGAUGGAUCUGCGCCGCAUUAGCUAGUUGGUAAGGUAACGGCUUACCAAGGCAACGAUGCGUAGCCGACCUGAGAGGGUGAUCGGCCACACUGGAACUGAGACACGGUCCAGACUCCUACGGGAGGCAGCAGUAGGGAAUCUUCCGCAAUGGGCGAAAGCCUGACGGAGCAACGCCGCGUGAGUGAUGAAGGUCUUCGGAUCGUAAAACUCUGUUAUUAGGGAAGAACAAGCGUGUAAGUAACUGUGCACAUCUUGACGGUACCUAAUCAGAAAGCCACGGCUAACUACGUG
This 497-nucleotide ribosomal RNA is filed under the name uncultured bacterium. RNAcentral's name for it is "partial 16S ribosomal RNA". It matches the Rfam family "Bacterial small subunit ribosomal RNA", at positions 28 to 507 of the family's 1533-position model. The record is from RNAcentral.